CCUACGGGAGGCUGCAGUGGGGAAUAUUGCACAAUGGGCGCAAGCCUGAUGCAGCCAUGCCGCGUGUGUGAAGAAGGCCUUCGGGUUGUAAAGCACUUUCAGCGGGGAGGAAGGCGGUGAGGUUAAUAACCUCAUCGAUUGACGUUACCCGCAGAAGAAGCACCGGCUAACUCCGUGGCCAGCAGCCGCGGUAAUACGGAGGGUGCAAGCGUUAAUCGGAAUUACUGGGCGUAAAGCGCACGCAGGCGGUCUGUCAAGUCGGAUGUGAAAUCCCCGGGCUCAACCUGGGAACUGCAUUCGAAACUGGCAGGCUAGAGUCUUGUAGAGGGGGGUAGAAUUCCAGGUGUAGCGGUGAAAUGCGUAGAGAUCUGGAGGAAUACCGGUGGCGAAGGCGGCCCCCUGGACAAAGACUGACGCUCAGGUGCGAAAGCGUGGGGAGCAAACAGGAUUAGAUACCCUUGUAGUC
Molecule: ribosomal RNA, 466 nt
Filed under: uncultured Klebsiella sp.
Lineage: Bacteria; Pseudomonadati; Pseudomonadota; Gammaproteobacteria; Enterobacterales; Enterobacteriaceae
Description: bacterial SSU rRNA
Rfam family: Bacterial small subunit ribosomal RNA
Source: RNAcentral